Molecule: ribosomal RNA, 497 nt
Filed under: uncultured bacterium
Lineage: Bacteria
Description: partial 16S ribosomal RNA
Rfam family: Bacterial small subunit ribosomal RNA
Source: RNAcentral
GAUGAACGCUGGCGGCGUGCCUAAUACAUGCAAGUCGAGCGAACGGACGAGAAGCUUGCUUCUCUGAUGUUAGCGGCGGACGGGUGAGUAACACGUGGAUAACCUACCUAUAAGACUGGGAUAACUUCGGGAAACCGGAGCUAAUACCGGAUAAUAUUUUGAACCGCAUGGUUCAAAAGUGAAAGACGGUCUUGCUGUCACUUAUAGAUGGAUCCGCGCUGCAUUAGCUAGUUGGUAAGGUAACGGCUUACCAAGGCAACGAUGCAUAGCCGACCUGAGAGGGUGAUCGCCCACACUGGAACUGAGACACGGUCCAGACUCCUACGGGAGGCAGCAGUAGGGAAUCGUCCGCAAUGGGCGAAAGCAUGACGGAGCAACGCCGAGUGAGUGAUGAAGGUCUUCGGAUCGUAAAACUCUGUUAUUAGGGAAGAACAUAUGUGUAAGUAACUGUGCACAGCUUGACGGUACCUAAUCAGAAAGCCACGGCUAACUACGUG